Long non-coding RNA from Chinchilla lanigera (long-tailed chinchilla), 1101 nucleotides. RefSeq lists it as uncharacterized. The record is from RefSeq and is a predicted model, not a curated record. The transcript is spliced from 3 exons. Lineage: Eukaryota; Metazoa; Chordata; Mammalia; Rodentia; Chinchillidae.
CUGUGCGAGGCGCAGGGGUCAGCGCGCCCCUGUCCGCGAGGAGGGCAGAGGGGGAGCCGCCGGGACCCCGCCUGAGAUCCCGCUCCCGGGAACACUGGAAACGGUAGAGCGAUUUGCGAUACUAAAUGAGAUAGUGCUUAGCGCUCCUGCUGUCCCGCGGCAAGCCCGCUUUCCUCGGGAGCCUGUCCUCGCUCCCUCUGGUGGGUCAAACCACCUGUUUUCGUAAGGACUUACAGUUUCCUACUACAGCGCCAAUCACAGUGGGCAAUGCGCCGUAGGAGCCAGGCUGAUAAGUUCUCCCUGCCACUGCAUUCCCUAGAGCCGUGGUGGAUACGCAGCAAGUAUUUCUGGGACGGAAAACUGAAGGAAUCCGUUAGGAGUUUGCCGAGAGGAAAGGGCGUUGUUACGGGGCGGUUGAGCCAGGUGCGAGGGACGCAGGUGGUGCUGACCAGGAUUCCUCCGUGAGGAGAAAUGAGAGUUUGUGGAAAUUAAUACUUAAAUAGGUAAGCAUCCCUGAUUCCUGAUGUGGAAACCAGCCCACGGCAAGCUUUAACAUCACCGGCGCUUUGGAAAGGACACUAGCUUUCUAAUUAACCUUCACUGGGGAUCCCAUCUAGGGUGACGUCACCGACGCCUGUGUGGGGUAGAGCACGUCAGAGUUAAGGUUCCAGCCAGAAGCAGAGCUUCGCAUGAGAUGACAGACUUUCUACCGCCUCGCUCUGAAUCCUGAGACAUUAUCAUGAGGAAUAUCUACACUUUGCAGAAUUUUGACCAAGAGAAGUUGACUUAUCAUUUCUUCUGCACAUUCCAAGCUUUUGGCUCAUCUCACCGUCUCAUUGGCUGCCAGUGACUCUGACGUGUCACACUGGUCCAGCUGGGGGAGCCAUACUGAUAUUAAAACUUAAAGCACUGGAAGAGAAUUCUCCCAAGGGAAAGUUUCCGAGGAAUUACUGUUCAACUAGUCUCUGUCAUCCCUCUGUAACCCCAAAAUGAAAACAAUAAUUUAAAAGCUUAUGUUGUCCCCAGCCAAAUAACCACAAUCUGCUCCCAAUGUAAGGUUCUGUAAUUACAUUAUUUUGAAGAAAUUCAAUAAAAUCUAUC